GAGGCUGUGUCAAGACGUUAUCAAGAAAUUUCUCCAAAAACAGCGACUUCCGGUCGUCCUCGGACCGUGCUACGCUUGCAGCCUCACAAGAAACGUGGUUAGAGACUGCCCAAACGUCCAACGAGGCUUCGUCCAACAACAGCCCAUUUUUAGCAGGUCCAGUUACCUAAGAACUGCAGCACAGACCGCCACUUCAGAUGUCAGAGAAAGCACUAAGUUAUAGAGAUGAGUAUAAUGAUUUUGUUUGUCUGUCCUGUCAUGAAUAUUCAGAGUGUGAGAUUUGUUUGUAUCAAUGUAUAGAUGUGAUGUGUAUUUAUUAAGGAUUCCCAUUGAUUUGUUUGUGCAAAUAAGUUUUUAAUGAGCACGUCUUGAUGUGAACCCAUUUAUACAUUAACAUGUAUCGGAGUAAAUAUAUAGUUAUUUAAAACAAAACAAACAACUCAUAAUAAUAAAAUGAAAUUGAGGAUAUAACGAUUAGUUUUGUUUGUUUAAGCAGUCAAUACUAUGAUAUGUUCUCGCUUCAUAUUUAUGUAUUAUGAAACGAUGAUUUUAUGAAAGGCGGUAUAUAUUGUAAUUAUUAUACUAAUUUUUAGUUUUAUAAUAUUAGUAUUAUUUCAGCAGAGAGGCUGUGUCAAGACGUUAUCAAGAAGGUUUUCUCCAACAACAGCGACUUUCGGUCGUCCUCGGACCGGGCUUCGCUUGCCGCCUAACAGGACACGUGGUUAGAGACUGCCCAUACGUCCAACGAGGCUUCGUCCCACAACAGCCCACUUCUAGCAGGUCCAGUCACCCAAGAACUGCAGCACAGACCGCAACUUUAGACGUCAGAGAAAGCACUAAGUUAUAGAAAUGACAUAUUUUGGCAUAGCAGUGUAUGGGACGAUAUUGGUGAAUUGAGUGCACAUAAUAGCUUGGGACACGCGGCUCAGAAGGACAGAGCCAGAGCAGCAAAAUCCAAGAAUACAAACAAAAAUAUGAAUUAUAUCUUUGACAAAUUUCAAGAAUGGUGUAGCGAGUAUGGUUUUAUUUCGUUGCCGGCAAAAGAAGCAUGUGUAUGUGUUUUUCUUAAGUGAAUUAGUGGACAAACAAUUUUCGAGUGCGGUUGUAGACGCGUAUUUCUACAACAUAAGUUGAAAGCAUGAUUUGUUUUAAGAGCAAAAUCCUUGUAAGAACAAGCUUGUAAAAUUUACAUUUGAAGGAUGCAAGCGAAUUUUGGCCGAGCCAGUGACAAAGAAAGAACCAUUAACUGCGGAUAUGUUAAAUAAUAUCAUUGACUUUCAUUGUAAGGACGGUCAGAAAUUAAGUGUGAAAAAUAUGAGGUUAUGUUUGAUGUGUAUUCUUUGGUAUUCGUUUUUUUCAGAUUUGAUGAGUUGUCUAGUUUAAAAAUGAAACUUUUCUUUUCAGGAUUCUCAUGUUUUUAUUUUUUUAUAGAACAUAGAAACUGUGAUCAGUUAAAAUCUGGUAAUAGUGUUAUUGUGCCAAAAACAGAUAACAGGCUAUGUCCGGUAUCCUGGUUAAAGAUAUAUCGCUGCGGGUCUCACAUUAUUUCGAACUUAUAUUUUUUUACAAAAGUUAGAUUUUUGAAAAGUAAAGGAAUUUAUGUUUUGUGCGACACAGAUUCUGCUUUAUCAUAUACCAGGACAAGGGAGAUAUUUUUAGAAGCAAUUCAGAGCACAGGGGAGCCUCCGCUGCUGCUAAAAGCGGAAAAAUCACAGAUGAUAAAUUGUUAGCCAAGCACGGUCGUUGGAAUUCGGAAGCUUCGGUUGAUGGAUAGUUUCAUUUCAGUAUAGAAACUAUUUUGUUUGAAUGUACAUUUUUCAUAUAGAACGUUGCUGUUGUAUUGGUGUGUUAAUGACAUUGUAUUGUUUCUAGUCUACUAGUAUGGGUGAGGCCCAACACUCGGCAACAUGACAUUUUGACAAACGGGCACAGGUUUCCAGAGCCUUUUCCUAAGACAUUCGAAAAGGGUUUUUAUAUCUGGUUUUUCCUGGGCGAGUCAUGUUGCAUUUUAUACACAUCCUAGUUUAAUAAAUAAUGUGUAUUUUGGAGUUAAUGUAAAGUUUAUGCUUUGUUUGUGUGAAAAUAAUAUGUUUUACAUAAUUAAAAAUGAUAUUUUGUUCCUGGGUUUUGAAUAGGCAAGAACUAUGAUCUGUUAAUGUACUUGUCUACUUACAUUAAUCCUGUUGGUAAAACGGCUACAAUAAAAGCGGACCGCCUUCUA
Dreissena polymorpha is the source of this 2221-nucleotide long non-coding RNA. RefSeq lists it as uncharacterized. NCBI's taxonomy places the organism in Eukaryota, Metazoa, Mollusca, Bivalvia, Myida, Dreissenidae. The record is from RefSeq and is a predicted model, not a curated record. The transcript is spliced from 2 exons.